This is a long non-coding RNA of Homo sapiens (human), 895 nucleotides long. The record is from Ensembl. NCBI's taxonomy places the organism in Eukaryota, Metazoa, Chordata, Mammalia, Primates, Hominidae.
AGCCAGCCAUGACUGUAAGACCUGGUCAAACCGUACAAACCAGACAGCAGGUCUCACCCCUCCCCAGAGAGCUCCAGAGAAUAUCAAAGAGUGAAACAGCAGAGGGAUGGUCUGGGUGGGGUCAUCGUGGCUGGCAAGGGUCUGUGACAGCACCUUGUUAGGCUACUCCCAAGAGGAAAUUUGGAGAGAGGGUGGGAGGGCAGCUCUCAGUGCAAGCUAAGUCUCCUGGAAAGUAACUUCCAAACUUUGGAGGAUUGUGAGCAAGAUGGGACCAACUUCUACCUAAAAGCAACUUCUACCUAAAAGAAUGUUAAUAGCAAGAUAACUCAUCCUAAUGUUGGUCCAAGCUAGGUCUUUAUUAUGCAUCCUAAAGGCUCUGAGAAUAACAAUGUAACCUCCAAAAGGGCUGCGGGCUUUGAGGAAUCUCAGGCAACUUGCUUCCUUCUGCUCAGUGACUCCCAUGGAGCACAGGAAAGCAAGGAAACACUUAGAGCCAAGCUUGAGUUCUGAAUUUCAAAUACAGGGAGUCCAUCUCUUUCUACCCAAUUGUUCCCUAGAUGAGUAACUAACUCCUUCCCCUUAACUGCACGUACUUCCUACCAAAGCACAAGAGGGUGGGCUGUCCAUGAGCCUCCCCAAAAUAUGUGCACCUUGUGACAUAAAUUCUGUCACCCAAAGAGACCAGUCAAAAUGCAAAACCAAAGUGGAGCCUUUCCUUGAAUUAUAGGUUCUAAAGAGUUUUGGACCCUCUACAAAACCCAAGAGUUAGGAAUUGCCUGUAAGAAGCACCAGCCCUUGUUUUAAAGAGGGAAUUUAAGAAUAAUAGCCAUGCUGAUGCCACACUACGCUAAGGGAGAAUAAUGAACCUAAUAAAACUAGCGAUUUUCCAAUUGCU